Long non-coding RNA from Daphnia carinata, 1112 nucleotides. RefSeq lists it as uncharacterized. The transcript has 3 exons. NCBI's taxonomy places the organism in Eukaryota, Metazoa, Arthropoda, Branchiopoda, Diplostraca, Daphniidae. The record is from RefSeq and is a predicted model, not a curated record.
CAUUUUGAAACGUUGCCAGAAUGGUGCGAGACACAAAACACGUGGAAAAUAGUGGCGGCGCCAUGGCCGUUUUGGAACCCCAAUCGAUCUAUUUCUUAACACUUCUCUUUUCGUUUCCUAUCAUCCUUGGCACGCGGAAGACAUCUUUUGUACUUUCGUUAUCGAAUACAAACUCUUUAAGCUCUGUUUGUCUUCCAUCUAAGAGGAUUCAAGGAAAAAGAAAGAGAAAGUUGUCCUUUAUCUCAGAACCCUGCAAUCUCGAGCAGACAACUGUACGCCGAUUGAAAUGUGUUUGCUCGCCUAGUGCUCUUGAAAGUAGAUGUUAUGAAGAUUGUCGACAGAAACUCUUUUUAUUUGUCCAAUUGCCUACCAAAGAUGCAGGGAAAAAACAAAACAAUACUCAGAGUCUGAAAGGUCCCGAUUUAUAUCAAAGUUUAGACUGGAAAAAGUUUGGACCCAACUUUUGUUCCUCCUACUGGGUUUCAUCACAGUGAUAUCGGUCGUGUACAUACUACUUAUUGGAUGUAAUGGGACAUGUAAAAGGGACGGCGUUAUUACGAAAAUGACGUAUAUAUUUGAUUUCACGGCGUCAAGGUUUCUGCUGUCGCCUAGUUGCCGAUGAGGAUGAAACCAGGCAACAUUUGCUCGACCGGGCCCAUAUUUUCUAUGGAAUAGAGUUUCAGUUUUUGUUGAACGCCACUGACGAUGAAGAAAGUAUCCCACCUGCACGUAGUUCAGGCUACGACAUGCUAGAAGGGGGGAGUUUUAGGCUACGAGGAGUGGAGAAUAAAAUGCCGGAAUCUAUCAAUAGAAUUCGACCAUCAGACUAGUAACACGCGAACGCACAAUGUGGAAAACUGAGCUUGCCCGAUCACAAAAAUAAUGCACCACAGCGUUGGUUGGUGUUAGCCGGUUUGCUAGGCGUGAAUUGACGGUGAAAUACCGGACACCCGCCCGCUCCCACGUUUCGAUUCUCCUAUUCCCCAGCCGAAAAAUUACGCGGGUCUUAUCACGUUGAACACACACUCGGCAUUUUAUUUUCUAUUUCGUUCUUAUCGAUUUUCGUGUGCUUUUUUUUUUGUUAUUUAAUUUCUUUUUUCAAUACUUUUCGU